This 319-nucleotide ribosomal RNA is filed under the name uncultured eukaryote. RNAcentral's name for it is "partial 18S ribosomal RNA". It matches the Rfam family "Eukaryotic small subunit ribosomal RNA", at positions 1470 to 1796 of the family's 1831-position model. The record is from RNAcentral.
CCCUUAGAUGGUCUGGGCGGCACGCGCGCUACAAUGAUGCAUUCAAAAAGUCUUCUGACCUUAGAAGGUUGGGUAUUCUCCAAAGUGCAUCGUGAUGGGAAUAGUUUAUUGCAAUUUUUAAUCUUGAACGAGGAAUUCCUAGUAAGUACAGGUCAUCAACUUGUGUUGAUUACGUCCCUGCCCUUUGUACACACCGCCCGUCGCUCCUACUGAUUGAGUGUCUCGGUGAAUUCUUUGAUCUUCUGUCGAUUCAGUUCGCUGAUCCGACGGUGGAAAGUUGAAUGAACUUCGUCACUUAGAGGAAGGAGAAGUCGUAACA